GACUGGGCCUUCUCUAGCUUUCCCCGGUUUGCUGCACUUGACGCUGCAGGGCGGGCGGGGUAAAGAAGGGAGCGAGCCCUUCUCAAGCUUGGAAAGUUUCCAGACUGCUGGGCCAGCCUCCUCCCCAGAGGGAAACUGAGGUCCGAUUGAGGUUUCUCCAAGACCGCCCACUCCUGCUCCUGUCCCCAAACCCCUUUCUGCCUAGGGUUCCUGGAAGCCAAGGAAACAGAACGAACUGUUCCCUGGGUGGGCGAGCCACUGCAGAGUACAAAGCUUUCAGGCCGCCUGCCUCAUUAGCACUAAUGGCUGCUCCCUUCCGCCCUGUGUCGUCAGGACUGUCUAUGCCUGGUCUCAUCAGCACAAGGCUGGGGUAAGGACUGCCCUUUUGUGGAGAUGGCAGGACAUACAGGACCCUGCUGCCCCUGCCUUCCCUCACCCCACUGCAGAGCUGUUUAUCACACACGUGUCCAUCUGGGAAAGGAAUGCAGGCUGAAUCAGCUUUGAGAGGAUCGCAAGGCCCCAGUGCACAAACUGGGUUGGCACAAGGCAGUGGAAAAAAGAUGAAGGGGGCCAGGUAUGGUGGCUCACACCUGUAAUUCCAGCAUUUUGAGAGGCCAAGGUGGGAGGAUCACAAGGCCAGGGGUUUAAGACCAGCCUGGGUAUCAUGGUGAGACCCCGUUGCUACAAAAAAUAAAAAAAUAGCUGGGUGUAGUGGUGCAUGCCUGUAGUAGAGGCUGAGGUGGGAGGAUGGCUUGAGCACAGGGAUUCAAGAGUGCAGUGAGCUAUGACUGCAUCACCACACUCCAGGCUGAGCGACAGAGCAAGAUCCUGUCUCAAAAAGAAAAGAAGAUAAAGGGUGGCCAGGCACGGUGGCUCACGCCUGUAAUCCCAGCAUUUUGGGAGGCCAAGGUGGGCGGAUCACUGGAGGUCAGGAGUUCAAACCAGCUUGGCCAAUAUGGUGAAACCCUAUCUCUACUAAAAAUACAAAAGUUAUUCAGGCAUGGUGGCACAUGCCUGUAAUCCCACCUACCCGGGAGGCUGAGGCAGGAGAAUCACUUGUAACACGGGAGGCAGAGACUGCAGUGAGCAGAGAUCGCACCACUGCACUCCAACCUGGGUGACAGAGUGAGACUCCAUCUUAAAAAAAAAAUGCUAUUUAAAAUGAAAUGAAGCAAUCCAUACUCCCAACAUUUAUAUAUACUGGGACAUCCAAGAAAUUAAAAUCACACCUCAUUAUGUCUUUUUCUUUGAGUCAGGGUCUCACUCUGUCACCCAGGCUGGGCCUGGUCAGCACCCAUGCUAUGGAGAGCUCUUCAUGGUCUGGUGUGGACAGAGUGGGAGUGGAAGAUCUCCUCCCACACAGGUGCUCAGUGUCUUACCUCACCUACGGGCAGCAGCUGUCUUCACCUGAGUGUGUGCACACAGGUGUAUCAGCCCCAUGGGCAGUGAUGGACGAGGGCUGAGGCACUCACAGGGCAGCCCAUGCCCCGGUCAGGUCCAGUGGGGGAGAUAUCAAGAAAACCCAGCGCCAAAAUGCAAUGAGCUGUGAUCGCGCUACUGCACUCCAGCCUGGGCGACAAAGCAAGUUGCCGUCUCAAAAAACAAAAACAAAACUAAACAAAAAAAAAAAAACGGCCAGGUGUAGUGAUUCACACCUUCUUGAGCCCAGGAGUGGCAACAUAGUGAGACUCUGUCUCUACCAAAAAAAAAAAAUUUAAUUAGCUGAAUGUGGUGAUGCACACCUGUAGUCCCAGCUACUCAGGAGACAGGGAGGAGGAUAGCUUCGGCCCAGGAGAUUGAGGCUGCAGUGAGCCAUGGUGGUGGUGGCUCACGCCUAUAAUCCCAGCAC
Homo sapiens (human) is the source of this 1849-nucleotide long non-coding RNA. Ensembl annotates it as ATP6V0D1 divergent transcript. Its record names the gene ATP6V0D1-DT. NCBI's taxonomy places the organism in Eukaryota, Metazoa, Chordata, Mammalia, Primates, Hominidae. The record is from Ensembl.